ACGAACGCUGGCGGCGUGCUUAACACAUGCAAGUCGAACGGAAAGGCCCUGCUUUUGUGGGGUGCUCGAGUGGCGAACGGGUGAGUAACACGUGAGUAACCUGCCCUUGACCUUGGGAUAACUUCAGGAAACUGGGGCUAAUACCGGAUAGGAGCUCCUGCUGCAUGGUGGGGGUUGGAAAGUUUCGGCGGUUGGGGAUGGACUCGCGGCUUAUCAGCUUGUUGGUGGGGUAGUGGCUUACCAAGGCUUUGACGGGUAGCCGGCCUGAGAGGGUGACCGGCCACAUUGGGACUGAGAUACGGCCCAGACUCCUACGGGAGGCAGCAGUGGGGAAUAUUGCACAAUGGGCGGAAGCCUGAUGCAGCAACGCCGCGUGCGGGAUGACGGCCUUCGGGUUGUAAACCGCUUUCGCCUGUGACGAAGCGUGAGUGACGGUAAUGGGUAAAGAAGCACCGGCUAACUACGU
This 466-nucleotide ribosomal RNA is filed under the name uncultured bacterium. RNAcentral describes it as "partial 16S ribosomal RNA". It matches the Rfam family "Bacterial small subunit ribosomal RNA", at positions 29 to 506 of the family's 1533-position model. The record is from RNAcentral.